AAACUACGUUAAACGGUGUGAAUUGCAGAACACGCAGAACACUGGAACUUUGAACGCACAUGGCAGGUUAGCGUUAAAACUAACCUUUGUCUGUGUGAGGGUUGUAAACGGAGAAUGAAGGCUAAUUUUUGAAAAGCGGGGAGGUUGCCUGUUAAAUGUGUGACAUGCCCGCUGAUGACAAUAAAACACACUCGUGUUGCGCCUCUGGCCUGCGUCGGAGGAUAACGGCAACUGGACGAGUUUCCUUUGUAUCUCACAACCUCACAUCAGGCAAGACUACCCGCUUAAUUUAA
This 293-nucleotide unclassified non-coding RNA is filed under the name uncultured fungus. RNAcentral's name for it is "sequence contains ITS1". The stretch from base 1 to 104 matches the Rfam family "5.8S ribosomal RNA", at positions 50 to 154 of the family's 154-position model. The record is from RNAcentral. Lineage: Eukaryota; Fungi.